GGGGAAUAUUGGGCAAUGGGGGAAACCCUGACCCAGCAACGCCGCGUGAGGGAAGAAGGUUUUCGGAUUGUAAACCUCUGUCCUUAGGGACGAAGAAAGUGACGGUACCUAAGGAGGAAGCUCCGGCUAACUACGUGCCAGCAGCCGCGGUAAUACGUAGGGAGCAAGCGUUGUCCGGAAUUACUGGGCGUAAAGGGUGCGUAGGCGGUUUGUCAAGUCGAAUGUGAAAUACCGGGGCUCAACCCCGGGGCUGCAUUCGAAACUGGCAGACUUGAGUGCAGGAGAGGAAAGCGGAAUUCCUAGUGUAGCGGUGAAAUGCGUAGAUAUUAGGAGGAACACCGGUGGCGAAGGCGGCUUUCUGGACUGUAACUGACGCUGAGGCACGAAAGCGUGGGGAGCAAAC
RNAcentral lists this ribosomal RNA (403 nucleotides) under uncultured bacterium. RNAcentral describes it as "bacterial SSU rRNA". It matches the Rfam family "Bacterial small subunit ribosomal RNA", at positions 356 to 773 of the family's 1533-position model. The record is from RNAcentral.